RNAcentral lists this signal recognition particle RNA (97 nucleotides) under Halomonas sediminis. RNAcentral describes it as "signal recognition particle sRNA small type". It matches the Rfam family "Bacterial small signal recognition particle RNA". Rfam says of the family: The signal recognition particle (SRP) is a universally conserved ribonucleoprotein involved in the co-translational targeting of proteins to membranes. Archaeal SRP consists of a 7S RNA and homologues of the eukaryotic SRP19 and SRP54 proteins. The record is from RNAcentral. RNAcentral also lists the same sequence under 1 other name. Lineage: Bacteria; Pseudomonadati; Pseudomonadota; Gammaproteobacteria; Oceanospirillales; Halomonadaceae.
CUUAGGUCCUCCCGCAAUGCUAAACCACGAACCCCGCCAGGCCCGGAAGGGAGCAACGGUAGUGGUGGUCGCGUGUGCCGGGAUGUGGCUUUUGGGG